Molecule: transfer RNA, 72 nt
Filed under: Camelus bactrianus (Bactrian camel)
Lineage: Eukaryota; Metazoa; Chordata; Mammalia; Artiodactyla; Camelidae
Also listed under: 2 other names
Rfam family: tRNA
About the family: Transfer RNA (tRNA) molecules are approximately 80 nucleotides in length. Their secondary structure includes four short double-helical elements and three loops (D, anti-codon, and T loops).
Source: Rfam by way of RNAcentral
GAGGGUAUAGCUCAGUGGUAGAGUGCAUGCUUAGCAUGCAUAAGGUCCUGGGUUCAAUCCCCAGUACUUCCU